UACGUAGGGUGCAAGCGUUGUCCGGAAUUAUUGGGCGUAAAGAGCUCGUAGGCGGUUUGUUGCGUCGGCUGUGAAAUCCCGAGGCUCAACCUCGGGUCUGCAGUCGAUACGAGCAAACUAGAGUGUUGCAGGGGAGACUGGAAUUCCUGGUGUAGCGGUGAAAUGCGCAGAUAUCAGGAGGAACACCGGUGGCGAAGGCGGCGAUCUGGGGUAGAUACUGACGCUGAGGU
Molecule: ribosomal RNA, 230 nt
Filed under: uncultured bacterium
Lineage: Bacteria
Description: partial 16S ribosomal RNA
Rfam family: Bacterial small subunit ribosomal RNA
Source: RNAcentral